Brienomyrus brachyistius is the source of this 192-nucleotide long non-coding RNA. RefSeq lists it as uncharacterized. NCBI's taxonomy places the organism in Eukaryota, Metazoa, Chordata, Actinopteri, Osteoglossiformes, Mormyridae. The transcript has 3 exons. The record is from RefSeq and is a predicted model, not a curated record.
GUUUUAUCUUGCAGCAUUAUUCUGAACAUUGCUCUCAUUUGUAUAAGAUGUAAACUGACCUGUACACACUGUGCAGAUGAAAAGAACAGUGAUAUAUCAAAAGUGGAAUGGUCACGCAAGCAAUGCCAUGACGAGGACACACUGAAUUACGCUGCCCUGAACCUUAAGAAGCCAAAACCCAGGAGACAGAAG